GCCCGCUUAGCCCAAUUGGCAGAGGCGUCGGUUUUAGGUACCGAAGGUUGAGAGUUCGACUCUCUCAGCGGGCA
Molecule: transfer RNA, 74 nt
Filed under: Rhodococcoides fascians
Lineage: Bacteria; Bacillati; Actinomycetota; Actinomycetes; Mycobacteriales; Nocardiaceae
Description: tRNA-Leu
Rfam family: tRNA
About the family: Transfer RNA (tRNA) molecules are approximately 80 nucleotides in length. Their secondary structure includes four short double-helical elements and three loops (D, anti-codon, and T loops). Further hydrogen bonds mediate the characteristic L-shaped molecular structure. tRNAs have two regions of fundamental functional importance: the anti-codon, which is responsible for specific mRNA codon recognition, and the 3' end, to which the tRNAs corresponding amino acid is attached (by aminoacyl-tRNA synthetases). tRNAs cope with the degeneracy of the genetic code in two manners: having more than one tRNA (with a specific anti-codon) for a particular amino acid; and 'wobble' base-pairing, i.e. permitting non-standard base-pairing at the 3rd anti-codon position.
Source: RNAcentral